This 301-nucleotide ribosomal RNA is filed under the name uncultured bacterium. RNAcentral's name for it is "partial 16S ribosomal RNA". It matches the Rfam family "Bacterial small subunit ribosomal RNA", at positions 509 to 807 of the family's 1533-position model. The record is from RNAcentral.
CAGCCGCCACGGUAAUACGUAGGGUGCGAGCGUUGUCCGGAAUUAUUGGGCGUAAAGAGCUUGUAGGUGGUUUGUCGCGUCUGCUGUGAAAAUCCGAGGCUCAACCUCGGGCUUGCAGUGGGUACGGGCAAACUAGAGUGUGGUAGGGGAGACUGGAAUUCCUGGUGUAGCGGUGGAAUGCGCAGAUAUCAGGAGGAACACCGAUGGCGAAGGCAGGUCUCUGGGCCAUUACUGACACUGAGAAGCGAAAGCAUGGGGAGCGAACAGGAUUAGAUACCCCUGUAGUCCCUGUCUCUUAUAC